ACCGCUUUUGGAGUUCGAUUAAGCCAUGCGAGUAGAAAGAAUUAGAUUCUUUGCGAACUGCUCAGUAACACGUGGAUAACCUGCCCUAUGCUCUGGGAUAACCUCGGGAAACUGAGAAUAAUACCGGAUAGAUCACAACGCCUGGAACGGUGUGUGGUUGAAAGAUUACGGCAUAGGGUGGGUCUGCGGCGUAUCAGGUUGUAGGGGGUGUAACGGACCUCCUAGCCAUCGACGCGUACGGGUGUUGGGAGACAUAGCCCGGAGAUGGAUUCUGAGACACGAAUCCAGACCCUACGGGGUGCAGCAGGCGCGAAAACUUCACACUGCAGGAAACUGUGAUGAGGGAACUCCAAGUGCGCGCACUUAGUGUGCGCUUUUGUUGACUAUUAAUCGGUCAAUGAAUAAGGGCUGGGAAAGACCGGUGCCAGCCGCCGCGGUAAUACCGGCAGCUCAAGUGGUCGUCGCUUUUAUUGGGCCUAAAACGUCCGUAGCCUGUUUGGUAAAUCUGUGGGUAAAUCGACCAGCUUAACUGGUUGAAUUCUGCAGAGACUGCCAGACUAGGGACCGAGAGAGGUGUGGGGUACUCUAGGGGUAGGGGUAAAAUCCUGUCGUCCUGAGAGGACCGCCAGUUGCGAAGGCGCCA
RNAcentral lists this ribosomal RNA (643 nucleotides) under unidentified euryarchaeote. Its description in RNAcentral is "bacterial SSU rRNA". It matches the Rfam family "Archaeal small subunit ribosomal RNA", at positions 26 to 677 of the family's 1478-position model. Lineage: Archaea; Methanobacteriati; Methanobacteriota. The record is from RNAcentral.